AGGCCGCAGGGCUGUGUGGGUGCUGGGGGUGCCAGGGAGGAAGCCAGUGGGAAUGGAGGAGUGUUACCCAACAGCCGGCGCCGCAAGUCCUGCGGUGGGUUAUCUAUCUCAGGGCCUGCGCCUGAGGGAUUCCAGCUGCCUCCCACGAGGGGCCGGCAGCCAGGGCUUCCAGCGGAACACUGUCAUGUUCAAAACAUAGACGAGAGGCAAACAGGCCCAGACUGCGACACAUCAGUGGAUUUCACAUUGUCUCCAGGGAGAGCCGUCAGGGCCACAGGAAAGCAGCGGUGAGCAGGACUGAAGGAAUAUUCUAGAUCACCCAGUGGCCCGGGACUUCACUCAGUGGCUGGAAGCUUGAGCUGAGCCAGGGCUCACGAUACUGAAGGUGCCCCAUCUCUUGGGUCGGGCCCUGGGCCUGUGGCUGCACCUGGUGGAGUAUGACAACACUGUCACCCAACACUCAAGGCUUAGCCUGGACAAGAUCAUGUGAGCUGGGGCUGGGGAGGGCCGGGGAGAGGGGACGGUGACUCAGGACCUGCCCUCCACAGCCCAGUGGUCCUCCCCACACCCCGUCAGCACCACCCAGCCUGCACCUGAAGGCCCAGCUCUACCUGAGAGCCAAGCUUCCUUCUACUUGACAAACAUGGUCUAGGGCCGUCUCCACAUUGUCCUGUGCAGGGUGCCAAGGGGGAGCUCAAACCCACUGUCUUCCUUGGUUUGCAAAGACUGAAAUUGUAAUGGAGUCACGCAGCAAUGUUGAUACCAUCUUUCCUUCUGGGUUUAGAAAUUGAGGGAACCUCCCAGUGCAUAUGGGUUGGCCAAGCCACAAGCUCUUAAGAGCCAAUUUUAGACCUUUGCCAAACCCCUAAAUUCCAUGGAAGAGUUGAUUUCUAUUAAAUUCACAUAAAGUCA
Molecule: long non-coding RNA, 912 nt
Organism: Myotis myotis
Lineage: Eukaryota; Metazoa; Chordata; Mammalia; Chiroptera; Vespertilionidae
Exons: 2
Source: RefSeq, a predicted model, not a curated record